ACAGCUCCGCUUCUGUACAUAUAAGCACCUUCACGAGACUUAUACUAGACAUAAAAUGUUGAAAUGAACAAUACUGUAGUCGCCGUAAGAGCAAUGGUGAGAAACGCGAAAUCACCAUGCAUGAGCCAUAUAGGUCUAACAAACUGUGACACCUCGGUAGUAAGAAUGUCUGGCUCAUCACCGGAUGAUUUCAGUGUUAUCAGACACAUGAAUCUUAGCCACUCUUGAUAAGGACGCCAACGCAAUCCAACGACAUACACGAUCGAACUCUCUUAGAACAGUUGUAAACUGAUAUGAGCCUG
This 302-nucleotide long non-coding RNA is filed under the name Brassica rapa (field mustard). RNAcentral's name for it is "long non-coding RNA (BRAP_LNC001551)". Lineage: Eukaryota; Viridiplantae; Streptophyta; Magnoliopsida; Brassicales; Brassicaceae. The record is from RNAcentral.